UUAGUGAGCUGACCGAAAUAGAAUAUAUGUCUCAAUUGUAGACUAAUUUAUUCAGUGAUAAAAAUCAGAUACAACCAAUAUUAUAAUAAACCCAUACACCCACCCUAUUAAAUAACCAAUAUGAAUAUACUCAACUCCACUUUCGAACAAAGUAAGUUUUUUCUUUAGAAUUAGAGGACACGUGUAUCAUUAUGAUUUGUGAACAGGAGAAAGGAGAAAGCUAUUUAAGCAGAGGAUCGAUUUUAUUCCAAAACAGAGAGGACCUCAAAGCGCGAAAUCUCCUUCUUCUUCUUCGUCUUCUUCGUCUUCUUCGUCUUCUUCUCUCUCUUCUCUCGCUCUUCAUCUCUUGACUGAAUAGUAAUUGUUGGGAUAAAUGGGUAGUGAAAGUGAUGAUGCAACAGAUCAAUUACUAAAGCCAGAGAAUCUCAUUCCAAAAAAUUUGUUUGAUGAUGAUCCUCUGCCCAGCUCCUCACCACAACAUGAUAAACUUAAUCUUAAUGAUACUGAUGAUAUCAUUAAGAAUUUGCCAGACCACUUAUACUGUACUUAUACUAAACCGAAACCUCAUGAUCUGAACCCAAAGGCACCAGACUUUACACCCAAUGCUUCCCGAAUCGAACCACCCCCACCGCAGCCUCAACAACCACAACCACAACCACCACCGCAGCCUCAACAACCACAACCACCACCGCAGCCUCAACAGCCACAACCACAACCACCACCGCAGCCUCAACAGCCACAACCACAACCACCACCGCAGCCUAAACUAAAGCAUUUCCCCCGGCCACAACAACCACUGCAGCCUCAACUACAUCAUUUCCCCCAGCCACAACCACCCGCACAGCCUCAACAACCGCAUUUUCCCCAGCCACAUCCGCCCAUGCAGCCUCAACUACAGCAUUUCCCCCAGCCACAACCGCCACCGCAUUUUCAGCAGCCCCAUUUUCCAGUGCAGCCUCAUCAGCAGCAUUUUCCCCAGCCACAACCACCACCCUCUGCUUACCAUCCUCUGCCACCGCAGCAGCCAAAUUACUUCCAAAUGCCACAGUCUUACUAUCCUCUGCCACCGCAGCAGCAGCCAAAUAAUUACUUCCCAAGGCCGCCGUCUUACCAUCAUACUCCUCACCAGAAGCAGCAGCAGCAGCAACCACCGCGGCGACCACCCGAUGGAGGAGCAGGACAUGGAAGAUCAGCUGUCUAGCUCUACUGCUCUAGAUAGUUUCUAAUAUUUGCUUCUGUUUUUUGAUAUGAGAUUAUAUGCCAAUAGACUAUUCAUUUGUUUAUGCUCAUAUCAACUUUUGGAUUAUGCAAAUAUAAUAAUGAAAUGACAUUUUUUUUUUAAAAAAAAGGAUAAAAAAAUCAUGUCAGUAAUCAUUUCAAUGCAAAUUAUUACUUUGUUACAGAUUAACUACUUACAUUUUAUAUAUAUAUAUAUAUAUAUAUAUAUAUGAUGUGAUUAUUUUUACGAACAAAAUUUAAAAUCGUGUAAUUUUAUAAUGAUAUAAAUUCCCUUUCCAA
Cannabis sativa is the source of this 1518-nucleotide RNA transcript. It is a transcript of the gene named early nodule-specific protein 2-like, with no coding region annotated. The record is from RefSeq and is a predicted model, not a curated record. The transcript has 3 exons. NCBI's taxonomy places the organism in Eukaryota, Viridiplantae, Streptophyta, Magnoliopsida, Rosales, Cannabaceae.